RNAcentral lists this unclassified non-coding RNA (375 nucleotides) under uncultured Eubacteriales bacterium. RNAcentral describes it as "contains 16S-23S intergenic spacer region". The record is from RNAcentral. Lineage: Bacteria; Bacillati; Bacillota; Clostridia; Eubacteriales.
UCCGGGUUGACCCCGGCAGUCUCAUCAGAGUCCUCAACUUAAUGUUAGUAACUGACGACAAGGGUUGCGCUCGUUGCGGGACUUAACCCAACAUCUCACGACACGAGCUGACGACAACCAUGCACCACCUGUCACCUCUGCCCGAAGGGGGAUCCCGGUUAAGGGAUCUUUCAGAGGGAUGUCAAGCCCUGGUAAGGUUUUUCGCGUUGCUUCGAAUUAAACCACAUGCUCCGCUGCUUGUGCGGGUCCCCGUCAAUUCCUUUGAGUUUUAGUGUUGCCACCGUACUCCCCAGGCGGAGCACUUAUUGCGUUAACUGCGUCACUGAAUACAUUCGUACCCAACAACUAGUGCUCAUCGUUUACGGCGUGGACUAC